Molecule: ribosomal RNA, 831 nt
Filed under: uncultured Comamonadaceae bacterium
Lineage: Bacteria; Pseudomonadati; Pseudomonadota; Betaproteobacteria; Burkholderiales; Comamonadaceae
Description: bacterial SSU rRNA
Rfam family: Bacterial small subunit ribosomal RNA
Source: RNAcentral
AGUCGAACGGCAGCAUAGGUGCUUGCACCUGAUGGCGAGUGGCGAACGGGUGAGUAAUGCAUCGGAACGUGCCCAGUCGUGGGGGAUAACGCAGCGAAAGUUGUGCUAAUACCGCAUACGAUCUAUGGAUGAAAGCGGGGGACCUUCGGGCCUCGCGCGAUUGGAGCGGCCGAUGUUAGAUUAGGUAGUUGGUGGGGUAAAGGCUCACCAAGCCAACGAUCUAUAGCUGGUCUGAGAGGACGACCAGCCACACUGGAACUGAGACACGGUCCAGACUCCUACGGGAGGCAGCAGUGGGGAAUUUUGGACAAUGGGCGAAAGCCUGAUCCAGCAAUACCGCGUGCAGGAAGAAGGCCCUCGGGUUGUAAACUGCUUUUGUACGGAACGAAACGGCGUGCUCUAAUAAAGUGCGCUAAUGACGGUACCGUAAGAAUAAGCACCGGCUAACUACGUGCCAGCAGCCGCGGUAAUACGUAGGGUGCAAGCGUUAAUCGGAAUUACUGGGCGUAAAGCGUGCGCAGGCGGUUUUGUAAGACAGGCGUGAAAUCCCCGGGCUCAACCUGGGAAUUGCGCUUGUGACUGCAAGGCUAGAGUACGGUAGAGGGGGGUAGAAUUCCGCGUGUAGCAGUGAAAUGCGUAGAUAUGCGGAGGAACACCGAUGGCGAAGGCAGCCCCCUGGACCUGUACUGACGCUCAUGCACGAAAGCGUGGGGAGCAAACAGGAUUAGAUACCCUGGUAGUCCACGCCCUAAACGAUGUCAACUGGUUGUUGGGAAUUUACUUUCUCAGUAACGAAGCUAACGCGUGAAGUUGANCGCCUGGGGAGUACGG